This 497-nucleotide ribosomal RNA is filed under the name uncultured bacterium. RNAcentral's name for it is "partial 16S ribosomal RNA". It matches the Rfam family "Bacterial small subunit ribosomal RNA", at positions 28 to 507 of the family's 1533-position model. The record is from RNAcentral.
GAUGAACGCUGGCGGCGUGCCUAAUACAUGCAAGUCGAGCGAACGGACGAGAAGCUUGCUUCUCUGAUGUUAGCGGCGGACGGGUGAGUAACACGUGGAUAACCUACCUAUAAGACUGGGAUAACUUCGGGAAACCGAAGCUAAUACCGGAUGAUAUUUUGAACCGCAUGGUUCAAAAGUGAAAGACGGUCUUGCUGUCACUUAUAGAUGGAUCCGCGCUGCAUUAGCUAGUUGGUAAGGUAACGGCUUACCAAGGCAACGAUGCAUAGCCGGCCUGAGAGGGUGAUCGGCCACACUGGAACUGAGACACGGUCCAGACUCCUACGGGAGGCAGCAGUAGGGAAUCUUCCGCAAUGGGCGAAAGCCUGACGGAGCAACGCCGCGUGAGUGAUGAAGGUCUUCGGAUCGUAAAACUCUGUUAUUAGGGAAGAACAUAUGUGUAAGUAACUGUGCACAUCUUGACGGUACCUAAUCAGAAAGCCACGGCUAACUACGUG